Molecule: ribosomal RNA, 325 nt
Filed under: uncultured bacterium
Lineage: Bacteria
Description: bacterial SSU rRNA
Rfam family: Bacterial small subunit ribosomal RNA
Source: RNAcentral
GACGAACGCUGGCGGCGUGCCUAACACAUGCAAGUCGAACGAAGCAUUUAAGUGAAUCUCUUCGGAGUGAAGCUUUUAUGACUUAGUGGCGGACGGGUGAGUAACGCGUGAGUAACCUGCCUUUCAGAGGGGGAUAACAGUUGGAAACGACUGCUGAUACCGCAUAAACGUAUUGAGACCGCAUGGUCUUGAUACCAAAGCUGAGGCGCUGAAAGAUGGACUCGCGUCUGAUUAGAUAGUUGGUGAGGUAACGGCUCACCAAGUCGACGAUCAGUAGCCGGACUGAGAGGUUGAACGGCCACAUUGGGACUGAGACACGGCCCAG